AAAAAAAAUUAAAAUUAAAAAAAAGAACGCAUUUAUAAAUUCGGAAGUGUAAAUUAUGGCUACUCAAAAUAGUUUGAAAUGACAAUUUUCUCAUGUCUAGAUUCUAAACCCAAAAGCAGUUACUGCAUUGAUUGAUUGCAAGUACAGAGAAAUCAUAAUAUUCUGGUAAUGAAUGGAAUGAAUUAGCAGAGCUACACUGCAAAAAGUUGCCACAUUUAAAGUUUCUAUAAUCGCACAACUUAAAAUUUACAGUUUGUGUUUCCAUAAUGGACAUAAAAACAGCUAAAAAAAAAACAUUCACAUUGAAAAAGAAACAGCACAACUUGGAGAUACUGCUAAAAUAUUACUACUAUCUUUUUUUUUAAAAAAAAAAUAAAUUUGAAUUUCAAAUUUGGCUGGAUUUGUUUUGCGAAAUAUCUAUGGUAGAACUGGAAUCCGGGUGUUUUUUCACUCAUGUAAUCCGAUCUAUGGCUUAAUUUAAAAAUUCUAUUUUUUUUCGUGGUUUAUUAUUGAAGUUUGAGAUUUUUUUUUCUUAAUGGCGUGAUUUAAAUUGAAGGCUUUUUUACUUGAAUGGUUCUGUAAUUUUUUCCCCUUAAAGCUUGAGUUAGCUUUUGGAUAUUUUAAAGCAGGGGGAUUUUAAUGCUUGUAGGUUAUUACAGUGGCAAACAACGAAA
RNAcentral lists this unclassified non-coding RNA (674 nucleotides) under Hevea brasiliensis (rubber tree). The record is from RNAcentral. Lineage: Eukaryota; Viridiplantae; Streptophyta; Magnoliopsida; Malpighiales; Euphorbiaceae.